This 253-nucleotide ribosomal RNA is filed under the name uncultured bacterium. RNAcentral's name for it is "partial 16S ribosomal RNA". It matches the Rfam family "Bacterial small subunit ribosomal RNA", at positions 524 to 776 of the family's 1533-position model. The record is from RNAcentral.
UACAGAGGUCUCAAGCGUUGUUCGGAUUCACUGGGUUUAAAGGGUGCGUAGGUGGGCAGUUAAGUCAGUGGUGAAAUCUCCGGGCUCAACCCGGAAACUGCCAUUGAUACUAUCUGUCUUGAAUAUCGUGGAGGUAAGCGGAAUAUGUCAUGUAGCGGUGAAAUGCUUAGAUAUGACAUAGAACACCAAUUGCGAAGGCAGCUUACUACCCGAAUAUUGACACUGAGGCACGAAGGCGUGGGGAUCAAACAGG